Molecule: ribosomal RNA, 395 nt
Filed under: uncultured bacterium
Lineage: Bacteria
Description: bacterial SSU rRNA
Rfam family: Bacterial small subunit ribosomal RNA
Source: RNAcentral
AUUGAACGCUGGCGGCAUGCUUUACACAUGCAAGUCGAACGGUAACAGGCCUUCGGGUGCUGACGAGUGGCGAACGGGUGAGUAAUGCAUCGGAACGUGCCCAAUCGUGGGGGAUAACGUAGCGAAAGUUACGCUAAUACCGCAUAAGCCCUGAGGGGGAAAGCAGGGGAUCGCAAGACCUUGCGCGAAUGGAGCGGCCGAUGUCAGAUUAGCUAGUUGGUGGGGUAAAGGCCUACCAAGGCGACGAUCUGUAGCGGGUCUGAGAGGAUGAUCCGCCACACUGGGACUGAGACACGGCCCAGACUCCCUACGGGAGGCAGCAGUGGGGAAUUUUGGACAAUGGGCGCAAGCCUGAUCCAGCCAUGCCGCGUGCGGGACGAAGGCCUCGGUUGUAA